Cottoperca gobio is the source of this 2776-nucleotide long non-coding RNA. RefSeq lists it as uncharacterized. Lineage: Eukaryota; Metazoa; Chordata; Actinopteri; Perciformes; Bovichtidae. The transcript has 8 exons. The record is from RefSeq and is a predicted model, not a curated record.
GAAACUAGCAGAGCUGUUUCCUGAGCAGUUUGCCUCUCUGCCUGAUGACGUGGAGAAAGAUUCCACUGACUGGAAGUCUGUAAGUGACCACGGUGGCAAGAAUCGCCAUAGGCAUUUAACUUUAUCGGUUGAGAGGUUAACCCUUUUCUUUUCUCUUCAGUGGUAUGACUUACACGCACCAGAACAGGCUCCAUUUCCCGUGAAAUAUGAGGAGAACCUGCCAGCCUUUCAGAAGCUGCUGCUGCUGCGCUGCUUCCGUGUAGAUAGUCUACAGAGCUGUGACUGACUACGUUACUGUCACCAUGGGCGAGAAAUAUGUGCAGCCGCCUAUGAUCAGCUUUGAUGCAAUUUAUGAACAGAGCACACCUUUCUCCCCCAUUAUCGUCAUCCUGAGCCCCGGCUCUGACCCAGCCACGGACCUCAUGAAACUAGCAGAGAGGUCAGGCUUUGGAGGCAACAAGUUCAAGUUUCUUGCUAUGGGCCAAGGCCAAGAGAAGGUGGCACUGCAGUUGCUGGAGAGGGCGGUGUCCCGUGGUCAGUGGUUGAUACUACAGAACUGCCACCUGCUGGUAAAGUGGCUGAAGAAACUGGAGAAGUCCCUUAGAGAUGAUCACCAAGCCCAAGCCCAAUCCCAACUUCCGCUUGUGGGUCACCACCAACCCCAUUAAGGAUUUCCCCAUUGGCAUACUGCAAAAGUCUCUAAAGGUAGUGACGGAGCCUCCCAACGGUCUCAAGCUGAACAUGAGAGCAUAAAAAUCUCCCAUGAGACCUUGACUGCAUGUCCUCACCCUGCCUUCCGCAGCCUGGUGUACGUGCUGGCCUUCUUCCAUGCUGUGGUGCAAGAGAGACGCAAGUACGGCAAGAUUGGCUGGAACGUCCUCUACGACUUCAAUGAGUCUGACUUCUCUGUAAGUGGCACGGGAGCCAUUUGAAAUGAGUGACAAUGUAACUGUGUUCAACAGGUGAUGUAUGGCGGGCGAGCCAUCGAUAGCUUUGACCGCAGGAUCCUGACUGUGUACAUGGAUGAGUACCUCGGAGACUUCCUCUUCUACACCUUUCGUCGCUUCCACUUCUUCAGCAACACGGACGUAGUUUACAAGAUCCCUCCAAAUGGGACCAAGAAAAUAUAUGUUGGUCAGUUGUUAUUUUCAUUACUUUACAUUCUCUUACUUUUAAGAGAAAUAAAAGGUUUCAGUCAUCACUCACAGCUUUACCCUAAAGACAUGUGCACUCACCUAAUAGACCUGCCGCCUCAGACAGGUAUGAGUUGGCAUCUUUCAUCUCUCUUGCCCCUUAAUUGAUUUCAAAGGGAGACAUUGUAAAGUUGAUGGCCUCCAUAUUGACUUCUGAAUACCGAAGAGCAUCCCCGGAAGUAAUAUGUACUAUUUUCAGAAGGAGAAGCUGUUCCAUACUGUUGAAGGAUAUUUGCUUUAUUCUCUUUAAAUGCUCUCUCACACCUCAGGUGAAUCGGGUGGAAGCAUCAGUAGGGACGAGUACAUCAACCAGGUGGCCCAGGACAUUCAGAACAAGCUGCCUAAGUUAUUCAACCUGGACGUGAUCUGAAAAAGGCACAGACAUUUCCCCGACCUCAGUGGUGCUGCUUCAAGAGCUAGAGCGCUUCAACAAGCUAGUGGUCCGCAUGCAGCACUCUCUGGCUGAGCUGCAGAGGGUGAGGGGGGGAGCAGAGGGCAACAAGAUAUUGAGGAAACAAACAGGCAGGUGUUGCGUCUUUGUGCUUCACACAGGUUUAGAUUUGUUCCGAUUCUCUUGUGUCCCCUAGGCCUUGGCUGGUGAGGUGGGUAUGAGCAGUGAGUUCGAGCACUUUUUAAUGGUCACAUCCCUGCCAUCUGGAAGAAGUUGGCACCUGACACUCUUAAGUCUCUCGGCAAUUGGACGAGCCAUUUCAAGAGGCGUUAUGAACAGUAUAGCUACUGGGUGGAUCAGGAAGAGCCAAAGGUUAUGUGGCUAUCAGGACUCCAUAUCCCAGAGUCCUACCUGACCGCCCUGGUCCAAGCCACUUGCAGGAAAAAUGGUACACACAGGUGACCCAGUACCGCAGUGAGGAUGACAUCAGUGACAGACGUGGACAGGGCUGAUUUGUGUCCAGCCUGUAUCUGGAGGGAAGCAGACUGGGACACGGAGAAGGGCUGCCUGGUUAAGAGUAAACCAAGCGUUCUGGUUGUUGAACUGCCCAUUCUCAAAGUCAUCCCCAUAGAGGCAAGCCGCCUCUGAUUACAGAAUACGAUACGGACACCGGUGUACACCACGUCUCUGCGCAGGAAUGCAAUGGGUGUGGGGUUGGUGUUUGAGGCUGACCUGUUCACCACCAUGCACAUCUCCCACUGGGUGCUCCAGGGUGUCUGUUUAUGCCUCAACGCUGACUAAAGACAGACCUCAGCUUCACUGAGCUGCUUAGCUUUUACACAUGUUAAUUAACAUCUGCUUCUUUAGACAGAGAACAAACUUUUAGUAUCUCUGAUUUAUAUUCAAACAAACAAGUUAUGGUGAAAGAUUGUACAUAUUUAAAAAUAUAUCUUUUUUAAUUGAUAGAGACAAGAGAACUAGAUUUUUUAGUCAUUGUCUACUUCAUAGCUUUCAUUAUAUUCUCACUAGAUGGCAGCACACCUCAGUACUGAGCGCUUCACUCUGGGCAGUAGCUCCAGGGAUUUCUCUUUGCUGUUACAGCGGGCUAAAGUGCCAACAGGCUACAGUGGGGUAAUCGUUCAGCCCUAAAGGUCUGCUACUUCUUUAUUAAUGAAUAAACGUUUGCAUUUCA